Molecule: microRNA, 21 nt
Filed under: Eptesicus fuscus (big brown bat)
Lineage: Eukaryota; Metazoa; Chordata; Mammalia; Chiroptera; Vespertilionidae
Description: efu-miR-9209c
Source: miRBase by way of RNAcentral
GUGGUCGGCAAACCAAGGCUC